Molecule: transfer-messenger RNA, 390 nt
Filed under: Pseudomonadaceae
Lineage: Bacteria; Pseudomonadati; Pseudomonadota; Gammaproteobacteria; Pseudomonadales
Also listed under: 1 other name
Description: Thiopseudomonas sp012800475 Standard tmRNA
Rfam family: transfer-messenger RNA
About the family: Bacterial tmRNA, also known as 10Sa RNA or SsrA, is named for its dual tRNA and mRNA-like properties. Its role is to liberate the mRNA from a stalled ribosome. To accomplish this part of the tmRNA is used as a reading frame that ends in a translation stop signal.
Source: RNAcentral
GGGGCCGAUUAGGAUUCGACGCUGGUUGCGAAACUUUAGGUGCAUGCCGAGUUGGUAACAGAACUCGUAAAUCCACUGUUGCAACUUCUAUAGUUGCCAAUGACGAAAACUACGGAGCAACAGCUCUAGCUGCGUAAGCAGCCGAGCCGCUCCUCUGGUCGCUUCGGCGCCAGCAGUCACUAGAGGAUGUCUGUAAACUCAAACUGACUGUCAGAUAGAACAGAAUCGCCGCGUAGUAUGUUGUGGACGAAGUGGCUAAAACUUACACAACUCAUCCAAAGCACCCUGCCGAUCGGGCGGCUGCGGAUUAAAUGAGUAGACACGGCUAAGCAUGUAGUACCGACAGCGGAGUACUGGCGGACGGGGGUUCAAAUCCCCCCGGCUCCACCA